UACGGAGGGUGCAAGCGUUGUUCGGAAUUACUGGGCGUAAAGGGCGCGUAGGCGGUUUGAUAAGUCAGAUGUGAAAGCCCACGGCUUAACUGUGGAAGUGCAUUUGAUACUGUCAGACUUGAGUACCAGAGGGGAAAGUGGAAUUCCCGGUGUAGAGGUGAAAUUCGUAGAUAUCGGGAGGAAUACCGGUGGCGAAGGCGACUUUCUGGCUGGAUACUGACGCUGAGGCGCGAAAGCGUGGGGAGCAAACAGGAUUAGAUACCCGAGUAGU
Molecule: ribosomal RNA, 271 nt
Filed under: uncultured bacterium
Lineage: Bacteria
Description: partial 16S ribosomal RNA
Rfam family: Bacterial small subunit ribosomal RNA
Source: RNAcentral